RNAcentral lists this ribosomal RNA (379 nucleotides) under uncultured bacterium. RNAcentral describes it as "bacterial SSU rRNA". It matches the Rfam family "Bacterial small subunit ribosomal RNA", at positions 28 to 388 of the family's 1533-position model. The record is from RNAcentral.
GAUGAACGCUGGCGGCGUGCCUAACACAUGCAAGUCGAACGAAGCACUUUUUACGAUCCCUUCGGGGUGACGAAUUUGUGACUGAGUGGCGGACGGGUGAGUAACGCGUGGGAAACCUGCCUUGUACCGGGGGAUAGCAGUUGGAAACGACUGAUAAUACCGCAUAAGCGCACAGUAUCACAUGAUACAGUGUGAAAAACUCCGGUGGUACAAGAUGGUCCCGCGUCUGAUUAGGCAGUUGGCAGGGUAACGGCCUACCAAACCGACGAUCAGUAGCCGACCUGAGAGGGUGACCGGCCACAUUGGGACUGAGACACGGCCCCAGGACUCCUACGGGAGCAGCAGUGGGAAUAUUGCCACAAUGGAGGGAACUCUGAUG